UCCCUGGUAGUUCAGUUGGUAAAGAAUCUGCCUGUAAUGCAGGAGACCCUGGUUUGAUUCCUGGGUUGGGAA
This 72-nucleotide transfer RNA is filed under the name Bos taurus (domestic cattle). It matches the Rfam family "tRNA". Rfam says of the family: Transfer RNA (tRNA) molecules are approximately 80 nucleotides in length. Lineage: Eukaryota; Metazoa; Chordata; Mammalia; Artiodactyla; Bovidae. RNAcentral also lists the same sequence under 4 other names. The record is from Rfam by way of RNAcentral.